UACGGAGGGGGCGAGCGUUAUUCGGAAUUAUUGGGCGUAAAGGGCGCGUAGGCGGCUUGACAAGUCAAAGGUGAAAUCCCUCGGCUCAACUGAGGAACUGCCUUUGAAACUGUCUGGCUUGAGGCCGGGAGGGGGUAGCGGAAUUCCCAGUGUAGCGGUGAAACGCUUAGAUAUCGUCAAGAACACCAAUAGUGAAGACAGCUUACUGGGCUUAAACUGACGCUGAGGCACGAAAGUGUGGGGAUCAAACAGG
This 253-nucleotide ribosomal RNA is filed under the name uncultured bacterium. Its description in RNAcentral is "partial 16S ribosomal RNA". It matches the Rfam family "Bacterial small subunit ribosomal RNA", at positions 524 to 776 of the family's 1533-position model. The record is from RNAcentral.